RNAcentral lists this ribosomal RNA (203 nucleotides) under uncultured bacterium. RNAcentral describes it as "partial 16S ribosomal RNA". It matches the Rfam family "Bacterial small subunit ribosomal RNA", at positions 524 to 726 of the family's 1533-position model. The record is from RNAcentral.
UACGAAGGGGGCUAGCGUUGCUCGGAAUCACUGGGCGUAAAGGGUGCGUAGGCGGGUCUUUAAGUCAGGGGUGAAAUCCUGGAGCUCAACUCCAGAACUGCCUUUGAUACUGAAGAUCUUGAGUUCGGGAGAGGUGAGUGGAACUGCGAGUGUAGAGGUGAAAUUCGUAGAUAUCAGGAGGAACACCAAUGGCGAAGGCAGCU